This 202-nucleotide ribosomal RNA is filed under the name Escherichia coli. RNAcentral's name for it is "partial 23S ribosomal RNA". It matches the Rfam family "Bacterial large subunit ribosomal RNA", at positions 2092 to 2294 of the family's 2925-position model. The record is from RNAcentral. Lineage: Bacteria; Pseudomonadati; Pseudomonadota; Gammaproteobacteria; Enterobacterales; Enterobacteriaceae.
CGUGAACCUUUACUAUAGCUUGACACUGAACAUUGAGCCUUGAUGUGUAGGAUAGGUGGGAGGCUUUGAAGUGUGGACGCCAGUCUGCAUGGAGCCGACCUUGAAUACCACCCUUUAAUGUUUGAUGUUCUAACGUUGACCCGUGAUCCGGGUUGCGGACAGUGUCUGGUGGGUAGUUUGACUGGGGCGGUCUCCUCCUAAA